Molecule: ribosomal RNA, 482 nt
Filed under: Enterococcus casseliflavus
Lineage: Bacteria; Bacillati; Bacillota; Bacilli; Lactobacillales; Enterococcaceae
Description: bacterial SSU rRNA
Rfam family: Bacterial small subunit ribosomal RNA
Source: RNAcentral
UCGAACGCUUUUUCUUUCACCGGAGCUUGCUCCACCGAAAGAAAAAGAGUGGCGAACGGGUGAGUAACACGUGGGUAACCUGCCCAUCAGAAGGGGAUAACACUUGGAAACAGGUGCUAAUACCGUAUAACACUAUUUUCCGCAUGGAAGAAAGUUGAAAGGCGCUUUUGCGUCACUGAUGGAUGGACCCGCGGUGCAUUAGCUAGUUGGUGAGGUAACGGCUCACCAAGGCAACGAUGCAUAGCCGACCUGAGAGGGUGAUCGGCCACACUGGGACUGAGACACGGCCCAGACUCCUACGGGAGGCAGCAGUAGGGAAUCUUCGGCAAUGGACGAAAGUCUGACCGAGCAACGCCGCGUGAGUGAAGAAGGUUUUCGGAUCGUAAAACUCUGUUGUUAGAGAAGAACAAGGAUGAGAGUAAAAUGUUCAUCCCUUGACGGUAUCUAACCAGAAAGCCACGGCUAACUACGUGCCAGCAGCC